GACGAACGCUGGCGGCGUGCCUAACACAUGCAAGUCAAAGGGAAGCAACUUCGGUUGUGAGUACUUGGCGCAAGGGUGAGUAAUGUAUAGGUAAUCUGCCCUUUGGACUGGAAUAACCCCGAGAAAUCGGGGACAAUACCAGAUGAUGCAGCGGAACCGCAUGGUUAUGUUGUUAAAGAUUUAUCGCCAAAGGAUGAACCUAUAUCCCAUCAGGUAGUUGGCAGGGUUAUAGCCUACCAAGCCUACGACGGGUAGCUGGUUUGAGAGGAUGAUCAGCCACAUUGGAACUGAGACACGGUCCAGACUCCCACGGGAGGCAGCAGUGAGGAAUAUUGCGCAAUGGGCGAAAGCCUGACGCAGCAACGCCGCGUGGAUGAUGAAGUUUUUCGGAAUGUAAAGUCCUUUUGUAGAGGAAGAAUAUGCCGGUUUACCGGCUUCGUG
RNAcentral lists this ribosomal RNA (441 nucleotides) under uncultured bacterium. RNAcentral's name for it is "bacterial SSU rRNA". It matches the Rfam family "Bacterial small subunit ribosomal RNA", at positions 28 to 473 of the family's 1533-position model. The record is from RNAcentral.